CUUGGUCAUUUAGAGGAAGUAAAAGUCGUAACAAGGUUUCCGUAGGUGAACCUGCGGAAGGAUCAUUACUGGGUUCAUGCCCUAACGGGUAGAUCUCCACCCUUGAAUACAAACUCUUGUUGCUUUGGCGGGCCGCUUCGGCUACUGGCUUCGGCUGGUGAGUGCCCGCCAGAGAACCCUAAACUUUGAAUUACAGUGUCGUCUGAGUACUAUAUAAUAGUUAAAACUUUCAACAACGGAUCUCUUGGUUCUGGCAUCGAUGAAGAACGCAGCGAAAUGCGAUAAGUAAUGUGAAUUGCAGAAUUCAGUGAAUCAUCGAAUCUUUGAACGCACAUUGCGCCCCUUGGUAUUCCGGGGGGCAUGCCUGUUCGAGCGUCAUUAUAACCCUCAAGCCUAGCUUGGUGUUGGAGCAUGCUAUCUAGCAGCUCCUAAAAUCAGUGGCAGUGCCUUUCGGCUCUAAGCGUAGUAACUUUUCUCGCUAUGGAAACCGGAUGGUACGCGUCAAAACCCCCAACUUUCUAUGGUUGACCUCGGAUCAGGUAGGGAUACCCGCUGAACUUAAGCAUAUCAAUAAGCGGAGGA
RNAcentral lists this ribosomal RNA (582 nucleotides) under uncultured fungus. Its description in RNAcentral is "eukaryotic LSU rRNA". The stretch from base 225 to 378 matches the Rfam family "5.8S ribosomal RNA". The record is from RNAcentral. Lineage: Eukaryota; Fungi.